GUGAAAACCACCCAGGUAUCCACGCUGACUGUCCUGCAACAGACAUGAAACCAGACUUGUUGCUCGCAUGGCGUCCAGCUUUAGCCCACUCUCCGCCAUUUAUACGUGAAGCCACUGGAGACCUGUCAGACUCUGCAGCCACACACCUGAAGUAAAUUGGCUUAACAGAGCUUCUUCGGGCAUGGUUGUCACCUUGUCUGAAUGGCAUGAGAUCAUCCGGAACUCAAGCUUGAGCAACCCAGCAACUCUGCCUUGGCAUCCCAGGAAUGGGACAGAAGCAGCUAUACCCGGGGAACGGAACAAGCCAUCCGCCCCAGGGGACAAGCAGAAAACAACCGAUUCUUCAUUUGCUCCCCCAUUCAAACCUCGUCUGCAUGCUCAUUCUUCCUGACCUCUUGGAGGAAAUCUCUGGAAGAUCCCUCAAUUCUUUCAGUUUGAUUGAGGCACAAGAAGCAUUUCUUUUGGGAAAUA
This is a long non-coding RNA of Zalophus californianus (California sea lion), 471 nucleotides long. RefSeq lists it as uncharacterized. Lineage: Eukaryota; Metazoa; Chordata; Mammalia; Carnivora; Otariidae. The record is from RefSeq and is a predicted model, not a curated record. The transcript is spliced from 3 exons.